UGGGGAAUCUUGCGCAAUGGGCGAAAGCCUGACGCAGCGACGCCGCGUGAGGGAUGAAGGCCUUCGGGUUGUAAACCUCUUUCAGCGGGGACGAAGCGAAAGUGACGGUACCCGCAGAAGAAGCCCCGGCCAACUACGUGCCAGCAGCCGCGGUAAUACGUAGGGGGCGAGCGUUGUCCGGAUUUAUUGGGCGUAAAGAGCUCGUAGGCGGCUCUGUAAGUCGGACGUGAAAUUCCAGGGCUCAACCCUGGGACGCCGUUCGAUACUGCAGGGCUGGAGGCCGGUAGGGGGAUCUGGAAUUCCUGGUGUAGCGGUGAAAUGCGCAGAUAUCAGGAGGAACACCGGUGGCGAAGGCGGGAUCCUGGGCCGGACCUGACGCUGAGGAGCGAAAGCUGGGGGAGCGAACAGG
Molecule: ribosomal RNA, 409 nt
Filed under: uncultured bacterium
Lineage: Bacteria
Description: bacterial SSU rRNA
Rfam family: Bacterial small subunit ribosomal RNA
Source: RNAcentral